GCCUAAUACAUGCAAGUCGAACGAUGAUCCCCAGCUUGCUGGGGGGAUUAGUGGCGAACGGGUGAGUAACACGUGAGUAACCUGCCCUUAACUCUGGGAUAAGCCUGGGAAACUGGGUCUAAUACCGGAUAUGACUCCUCAUCGCAUGGUGGGGGGUGGAAAGCUUUUUGUGGUUUUGGAUGGACUCGCGGCCUAUCAGCUUGUUGGUGAGGUAAUGGCUCACCAAGGCGACGACGGGUAGCCGGCCUGAGAGGGUGACCGGCCACACUGGGACUGAGACACGGCCCAGACUCCUACGGGAGGCAGCAGUGGGGAAUAUUGCACAAUGGGCGCAAGCCUGAUGCAGCGACGCCGCGUGAGGGAUGACGGCCUUCGGGUUGUAAACCUCUUUCAGUAGGGAAGAAGCCGCAAGGUGACGGUACCUGCAGAAGAAGCGCCGGCUAACUACGUGCCAGCAGCCGCGGUAAUACGUAGGGCGCAAGCGUUAUCCGGAAUUAUUGGGCGUAAAGAGCUCGUAGGCGGUUUGUCGCG
RNAcentral lists this ribosomal RNA (531 nucleotides) under uncultured Actinomycetes bacterium. RNAcentral describes it as "bacterial SSU rRNA". It matches the Rfam family "Bacterial small subunit ribosomal RNA", at positions 46 to 587 of the family's 1533-position model. The record is from RNAcentral. Lineage: Bacteria; Bacillati; Actinomycetota; Actinomycetes.